CAUGCUGCCUCCAUCCCUGGUGCCCUCUCUGUAUCUCUGUGCCUUUGUGCACACUGCUUCCUCUGCCUGGAAGCCCUUCUUCCUUUCUCCACACAACACAUCCCUCCUUACUCAUUAAAGUCCCGUACAAAUGCUAAAGGCAGCUGAUCUUGUCAGCAAACUUGGCCACCAAAUAGAAAAUCUCCUUCUAUGCCCACUAGUCAUGGACAAAACUCAAAAGUUGCAUGGGAACUUCAGUUAUCGGGCAAUGUUACCAGGGUUUGGGGCAGAAGGAACAGAUAAAAGGGACAAUUCUAAGGAAGAUGAUUGAAAGACUGACCCCAAUGUGGAGAGGAUGAUUCCAGCACUACUCGUACUGCACUAGGAUCAGACAACUUGAAAUCUGCCUUUGCUUUUAUUGGGCAAUCUGUUCCAGGGAUCACAGCCCCUACCUGUAACUGUCACCUCUUUUGAGGUACAAUUACAUUCUUUCCUCUCAUCCCAUUGCAAUGUUUCCAUGCUGAGAGGGCUCCAGAGAGAUGUAGGGAAGCUCUGCUAGUCUCUGUGCUGAAGCUCAGUGCCUGGCAUACCUCUGCCUUUGAUGAGGCUCUGGCACAGCCCUGCAUCAUUCUUCAUUUGCCUGCGCAUUAAAGAAUGCCCCUGGUGGUCAUCAGAGCGCCUUGUGUCAGAGGCUUUGUCUACACCUCUCUGUGCCUAGGUUGCAAGCACAGCUUUGGAUUUUUUUUAUCCUCCUCUCAUGUACUGAUGUUCAAUUUGGAUGGUUUUAAGAUGCAUUAACAUUGGGACAUCUAUGAUUUCAAGCCGUCAUUUGGACCUGGUAAGGGCAGUAAUAAUGAAGACAAAACUUUUGUUACUGGGAUUUAGAAGAAGGCUUUCCUGCAAGCACCAAAUGGCUAUGCAAGAAUGCAAAUUGCAAGAGGGCAGAUAAAUGGUUCAUUCUGUUUCUAUUCACCGUUUCAUCGCAGGAAUGGAAGCAUAAUAGGCUCUCAGAACAUUUUUGUUCAGUGUUCAAUUGAUGAACAUAGGAGAGAGCUCAGGCUAACUUGGAAGUCAUUUAUGUGUAAGCACAGGGCAACUGGUUGUUACAGAAAAGAGAACAUUCAAGAAAUCAUGGAGGUGGAAUACAGGAACCUGGGCACCACAUACGCAGAUUACGUGUUGCUCCGGGUUCUUUUGCCUUGACUUCAUAUCUGCCCCCUCAGUCUCUCCAGGAUACAAUGUGGAAAACAUGGCCACUGACAGUGCACCUCUUCCAGACACGACACCCAGAGUUAGGCAGCAGAGCCUGGCAUACUUCAAGAUUCACCCAGAGGUGUGCUGAUCUCUUGAAAGCCUCCCUCUUCUCAUGAUACCACAGGUAGGGGACUGGGUCAGUGGUAAAUUAUAGAAUGAGUAUCCACCUGAGACUCUCAGCUAACUGUCUCCUCUACUUUAAGGAUUUUCCUCCCUUUGACAAGCCCUGCACUUGGAUUUCUCCCGAGUGAAAUACUUGGUGAGGGUUUCACUGACAGGCUUCUUCCCAGGCCCCAGGAUGAUCUUAAGAUUCCUGGAAAUAAACUAAGAAGUAAAUUUAAGGCAGCAUCUUGCACUUUCAUCUAAUUCCUUACCGAAAAUGUGUGAACCUGAAGGCAACUCAAAAUUCUGAGUGAAUUUCCAGACUUUUCUUGGAAGUGACAAGAAAGCAACCACAGGCACCACCCAGUCAGCAUACAGACAUUUGCAGCUUUCUCCCUUCAUUUGCAUUGUUUUCUUUAACACUUUUCCGCCCUCAUUUUUCAUUUGACAUUCUCUUGUUUUGUAUUUUUCCCCUUUCUCAUUUUAUUCUCUUUGUCCUUUUUAAAAUUCAUCUGCCUCUUUUCUGUCACAUCUUCAUUCCCCCUUCUUAUUCCUUUCUUUCUUCUCCUCCUCCCUCCUUAUUCUCUCUCUGUCCUUUUCCCUUGAUGAGAGACACUAAAUGUGAAGUCGAUUUGUCCCUGGACGUAGCUGUUGCUUGGGAGGAGACACACCCCAGGCUCUGAAGACUCUCUACUUCAACACUGAAGGACCUCGGCCUCAGCACUGACAUGAGUUACGUAUGACGGUGGCCCCUGAAGGAGCACUUAACAGGUUACAUUAGUGAGUGCUCUAGAUCCCUUCUACACAGCUGUGCUUGAAGGUCCAGAACUGAUUGCCAGUGUGUCUUUGGGGCAUGCAUUUUCUACUGCCUGUUCCAUUCCAAAGAGCCGGCUUCCUGAGUCAGGUAUAAGGCCCGACUGCUUAAUAUUUGAUGAUAUGAUUUUCCCACUGCUCAGAUGAAUACAAUAUUGUAUAAGGCCAAUGCAAUGCUGAAGUUUUCACUCCACGAUUUCAGCAAAGUACAAAGAAGCAAGCAGAGAAGGGAGCCCAUAAACUCAUAAACAUCUGUGGGAAACAGCAAAGAGAUUCAUUUGGAAAAUCAAAAAAGAAACUAUAAAAAGAUGUUUACAUUAUCCUGAGGAGAAAAGCUAUAUUCACAGACUUUAUUAUUAAGUUUUAAAGAUAAUUCAUAAUAUAUUUCUCUCUGGUGCUGCAGUAAAAUUUUAUGUUCAGGACUUCGGAUAUAUGCCUUGUGUUUUAGGUCAUGGCCAUGGUAAGUGUCAUAUUG
RNAcentral lists this long non-coding RNA (2623 nucleotides) under Homo sapiens (human). Its description in RNAcentral is "HSALNT0358938". The record is from RNAcentral. Lineage: Eukaryota; Metazoa; Chordata; Mammalia; Primates; Hominidae.